RNAcentral lists this long non-coding RNA (508 nucleotides) under Sinocyclocheilus anshuiensis. RNAcentral's name for it is "lncRNA (ENSSANG00000024292.1)". Lineage: Eukaryota; Metazoa; Chordata; Actinopteri; Cypriniformes; Cyprinidae. The record is from RNAcentral.
CGUAAUUAAAACAUUGCACUUAAACUUGAAAUCUGCAGAGAUGGCCACUGUUAUACAGAAAUAUAGCUUAACAUAUACUAAACAUACAUACAUAACUAAAUGUGACUAGCAUUGUAGAUAUCUAAAGCGUUGAGUUUGACACCAGUCAAAAUAAUUUUUCCUCAUUAUACCAAAUUCACAAAAAUAUUACACCAUAUUAACAACCUAAAUUCAUGCAGAUUUAUAGGUUAUCUUUGGCUUGGGCUCUUGAUUUUGAGUGCUGUGUAUGUCUGUCAGAUUGAGAAUAAAUGGAGGAGGAAGAGAGAGAUGUGGAGGAUGUUCUUCAGUCUGAGGAGAGAGAGGAUGCACAGCCUGAACACAUAAGAGAUGGACUGGUGAUUGUGACAGGGGGGAAUGGACAAUUAUAUGGUGUCCCAUCUGUGUCUAUGGGGGCCGCUCAGAUGUUACUACCUCAUGGUCAGCUGUUGAAUGUUGCAAAGUCAUCAGGUCAUUAUUUAUAUUAUAUUUA